This 67-nucleotide transfer RNA is filed under the name Cryptonema producta. Its description in RNAcentral is "tRNA-Asp". It matches the Rfam family "tRNA". From Rfam's summary of the family: Transfer RNA (tRNA) molecules are approximately 80 nucleotides in length. The record is from RNAcentral. Lineage: Eukaryota; Metazoa; Mollusca; Bivalvia; Venerida; Veneridae.
AAAUAGGGUAGUUUAAAAAAAAAUGUUGGAUUGUCAAUCCUAAGAUAUCUCAGAUGAUUCCUGUUUA